UAGCGAACUGCGUAGCAAACAGUUGGAAACUACCGACUGACAGAUUCCCGUUGCGGCUUGCACACGUUGCCUCGGCUUCUCUUGAAUUUUAUGAGAAAGGACAACGCCGCGUCUCGUCCCACAGAGGGUGUUGAAGAUGGCAGUCUGGAUUCAGGCCCAGCAGCUCCAGGGAGAUGCACUACACCAGAUGCAGUCUCUCUAUGGCCAGCACUUCCCUAUUGAGGUGCGGCACUACUUGUCCCAGUGGAUAGAGGGCCAACUCUGGGAUGUCAUAGAUUUGGAGAACCCCCUGGAGGAGUUCAAGGCUAAGCGCCUGCUUGAUAGUCUUAUCCAGGAGCUGCAGAACAAGGCCGAGCACCAGGUGGGCGAGGAUGGCUUUCUGCUCAAGAUCAAACUGGGACACUACGCCAGCCAGCUAAAGAGCACGUAUGACCGCUGUCCUCUGGAACUGGUCCGGUGCAUCAAACACAUCCUCUAUACAGAGCAGAGGCUUGUCAGAGAGGCGACUAAUUCGAGCUCUCCGGUGGGUGGGAUGAUGGACAGCAUGUCGCAGAAGUACCAGCAGAUCAACCAGGCCUUUGAAGAGCUCCGCGUGCUUACCCAGGACACCGAGAACGACCUGCGAAAGCUUCAACACAACCAGGAGUACUUCAUAAUCCAGUACCAGGAGAGCCUCCGCAUCCAGGCCCAGCUGACCAGCCUGGCCACACUGCCCCCUGCUGACAGGCAACUAAGAGAACCUGCCCUUCUCAGCAAGAGAGCUACAGUGGAGACUUGGUUGACUAGAGAGGCCAACACACUACAGAAAUACAGACUGGACCUGGCAGAGAAGCACCAGAAAACACUGCAGCUGUUGAGGAAGCAGCAAACCAUCAUCCUGGAUGAUGAGCUGAUCCAGUGGAAGAGACGGCAACAGCUGGCUGGUAAUGGGGGCCCGCCUGAGGGAGGCCUGGACAUCCUGCAGUCCUGGUGUGAAAAGUUGGCAGAGACAAUCUGGCAAAACAGGCAGCAAAUUCGAAGGGCGGAACACCUACGGCAACAGCUGCCCAUCCCUGGCCCCAUAGAGGAACUGCUUAAUGAACUCAACAGCACCAUCACAGACAUCAUCUCAGCGCUAGUCACCAGCACCUUCAUCAUUGAGAAGCAGCCUCCACAGGUGCUAAAGACUCAGACGAAGUUUGCUGCCACUGUGCGCCUCCUGGUGGGUGGAAAGCUGAAUGUGCAUAUGAACCCUCCCCAAGUCAAAGCCACCAUUAUCAGUGAACAGCAAGCCAAGUCCCUGCUGAAGAAUGAAAACACGAGGAAUGACAGCAGCGGAGAAAUUCUCAACAAUAACUGUGUAAUGGAGUACCACCAGACCACAGGGACCCUCAGCGCCCACUUCAGAAACAUGUCCUUGAAGAGGAUCAGGCGGUCCGACAGGCGAGGAGCCGAGUCCGUCACAGAGGAGAAGUUCACCAUCCUCUUUGAGUCCCAGUUUAGUGUUGGAGGCAAUGAGCUUGUCUUUCAAGUUAAGACAUUAUCACUUCCUGUAGUUGUGAUUGUACAUGGUAGCCAAGACAAUAACGCCACUGCAACCGUGCUAUGGGACAAUGCAUUUGCAGAGCCGGGACGGGUGCCCUUCCUAGUGCCUGAUAAAGUGCUGUGGCCCCAGCUAUGUGAGGCUCUCAACAUGAAGUACAAGGCUGAGGUGCAGAGCAGCCGAGGCCUGUCUGAGGAGAAUCUCGUCUUUCUGGCUCAAAAGGCCUUCACCAGCUCGAGCAACAACCCUGAUGACUACCGCAGCAUGACCAUGACCUGGUCCCAGUUUAACAGGGAGAGCCUGCCAGGGAGAAACUUCACAUUUUGGCAGUGGUUUGAUGGUGUGAUGGAACUAACGAAAAAACAUCUUAAACCGCACUGGAACGACGGGGCCAUCUUGGGCUUUGUGAACAAGCAGCAGGCUCAGGACAUGCUGAUGUCCAAACCCAACGGCACCUUCCUGCUGCGGUUUAGCGACUCUGAGAUCGGUGGAAUCACCAUUGCCUGGGUUGCAGAAAACCCGAACAAAGCAGGGGAGAGGAUGGUGUGGAACCUCAUGCCCUACACAACCAAAGACUUCUCCAUUCGCUCUCUGGCCGACCGCAUCAGCGAUCUCAAUCACCUGCUGUUCCUCUACCCGGACAGACCCAAGGAUGAAGUCUUCUCCAAAUACUACACCCCACCGUUGUCUAAAGCAGUGGAUGGCUACGUCAAACCACAGAUCAAGCAAGUAGUACCAGAGUUCGCUACUGCCAAUCCUGACCCGGCAAGUGGAAACCCCACCUACAUGGAUCACGGUGCCUCCCCUGCCCCUGUCACUCACCCCCACACCUACGGCAUAUACCCACCUAUAAAUGACUCCAUGUUGGAUGCAGACGGUGACUUUGACUUGGACGAUACCAUGGAUGUGGCCAGGCAUGUGGAGGAGCUCCUUCGGCGGCCUGUGGAGAGCCAGUGGAGUGGCCAACAGUCCUGACCUUUGACAUUUGACCCUUGAAGACACCAAAUGAACCUUGCCCCCCCACCCAAUCUCCCACACCCCUUUCAUAUCUCUCAUGGUUAAAUUCCAUUCAUUUCUCAUUAUUGUUUUUUUUUCCUGAUAGUUAUAAUGUGAAAUGUUAAUAAUGGUUGUGACUGUUUUUUGGGUUGUUUUUUUUUUGGUGGGGGGGGUCUUUUCCCGGGUUGUUUUUUUUAGCAUGAAAACAUGCAUGUCUGUGACCUCACCUGUUUUUAUUUGUGUCCAUAUGUGUAUGUAAAACAGAGUAGUCAUAAUGCGACAACUACCAUGUUACAGUAUUGUGAAUAAGAAUGAAAAGAAGACGCUCGUUCACAUUUGUGCAUGCAUUUUCAGGUUUCUGAUUUUGAACAGAGGUUUAAAAAACGCGACUGAUUGUACUGUUUUUUUUCUUCUAUUUUUGUUGUGUUCUCUUCUCUGUCAAUGGUUUUUAUCGCUGUUUUUCUUUUGAUACAGAACAUGCCCUUUGCUAAAAACACAAGAGAUUUUCACUGUCACUCUUUUACAACUUAAUCAUAGUUGUUGGGCGAGUUUCUUGUUAGCUGUUCAAGUCCAUACACACUAAAGCUAAAGGUGGAGUGACUCUCCUGUUUCUCUGUGCGCUCCAGAUGGUGUGCGUGUACACGCCUCGUUAGCAUUGCAUCGCUAUAUGAGUAUACGUUUGCUCUGAUUUGUUCACCAGCUGAAGCCGGAGGCGGGACUUGUAUGCACCUCCCUCCCCUCACAGGGCUAUCUGACUUUCUGCUAGCUGCAGAAACACAAACCUUAGCAUUUAUCUGCUUGCUCCUCUCAGGUCUCUCUUUGGCCCCCUCCCCUCUAUUGUACCCCCAUCAAAUGCUACCUCGCACUGCUCCUCUUGUCAGUCAUUGUUGUUACUCUUGUUGUAGUAAUUGUGCAACCGCCUGGUCAUUAGAUUCACCCAUGUGAGUUUGUUGUCUGAUUCUGAUGACAUGUGCAGAAGGGAUCUUUUGUUGCCCUGUGGCUGGCAGGUGUUUUUUAUGUUUUGUUUUGGUUUUUUUUUUUUUUUUUUGUGUUGGUUGUUGUAUGGUUGCAACUGCUGAAUCUGAAAAUGUCUAGCUGCACGGGGGAAAAAAAAUCAGUAUUUUAAUGUCAUCUCUCAGAUUUGUGUACUGAGCUGCUCUACUCGAUGUGAGGGUGUGCUGCUCCACCCCCACUGGCCUUUCUUUACGUGUCUGACUGCCGCCCAUCUCCCCCCGUCCCGGUGUCUCCACACCGCUAGGAAACCUGCAUGUGCACGUCCCUGAGUGUGACAACAUGGCCGACGCCCAACAAGCUGACCUCCUGAGAUCCUUGGACAGACUCCGGACCUUGGACCAGGCCCAGCCCUCUUGGAUCCUGUGUCAGCUGUAAUGCCAUAUGGCUCUCUCUCUCUCUCUCUCUCUCUCUCUCUCUCUCGGCUCCUAUUCCCAUGGGACACCAAACACAGACGUCUGGCUGAAAAUGAUGAAACUACCCCCCCUCCCCCCUUCUUAAAAACACAAACAGAAUGCAGAAUAAUUAAGAACAUGUUGUUGACCGCCUCAGAACCCUGUAGUGACGAUUUAGCAGAGCUCCACGUCUGGUCUGACCUGCAGCAGCACCGCGGGGGAACCAGACUGCGAUGGAUUCAGGCGAGCAUCGCUAUGUAUUUUGUGUUUGUCCAGCAGACUGCAGUAUUGAAAGUAUUCCCUUGUUUUCCCUUUUCAUUUGUUUCUUAAAAAAAAAACGUAGUCUUUUCUUCUUUUUUUUUAAAUCUCGCUAUUCUUUCUCUGACGUUUUUGAAAUCUCAACCUACGUGGGAAGUGAUGAUAUCCCUCAUCGACAUUAUCCUCAUUGUUUUGAACUACUUCUCACCGUAGAGACUGUGUGGUUUUUCAUGCUGUAUAUGGCGCUGUGUGCUGUUCAAUGUUUGUUCCAUGUUUGUGGUUUGGGUUUAGAACUGAACGUUUUCCAAGCGAAAUGGCUGUUGAGGUUGAAAAGACAAAAAAAUAAAAGUUUUAUAAAUA
RNA transcript from Lampris incognitus (smalleye Pacific opah), 4542 nucleotides. It is a transcript of the gene named signal transducer and activator of transcription 5a, with no coding region annotated. The transcript is spliced from 21 exons. Lineage: Eukaryota; Metazoa; Chordata; Actinopteri; Lampriformes; Lampridae. The record is from RefSeq and is a predicted model, not a curated record.